Gorilla gorilla gorilla (western lowland gorilla) is the source of this 401-nucleotide long non-coding RNA. RefSeq lists it as uncharacterized. Lineage: Eukaryota; Metazoa; Chordata; Mammalia; Primates; Hominidae. The transcript is spliced from 3 exons. The record is from RefSeq and is a predicted model, not a curated record.
GACUUAAUCCUCGUUAUACCCUGAUUUUGGACAAAUUUUACAAGAAGAAUAAGACUUCUACUUCUCUAUGUCUACAUGCACCUGGAACAGUGCUAGGUCUAUGCUUACAAAUUGAUUGGUUCAGGUCACCGCCAUGAGCCUCAGGACAGAAAAUUGCCGGAUAUGAGAGAGAGAGAGAUUUGACUGGGCUAAGAAAGAAAUGAACAUGAUUUAGAGAUGGAAAUGGUGACAUAUGGGCCUUUGAAGCCUCCCAUGUUCCAGAGAAGGUGAGGUUUCACCAUGUUAGUCAGGAUGGUCUCGAUCUCCUGACCUCGUGACCUGCCCACCUCGGCCUCCCAAAGUGCUGGGAUUACAGGCAUGAGCCAUUGUGCCUAACCUCAGAAACCAUUUUUAUAACCUCA